Molecule: long non-coding RNA, 1063 nt
Organism: Felis catus (domestic cat)
Lineage: Eukaryota; Metazoa; Chordata; Mammalia; Carnivora; Felidae
Exons: 4
Source: RefSeq, a predicted model, not a curated record
UUAUAAAUGUAUAGUCAUCACUUAGACGAUACUUUAUUGUUGGUCUGCAUAUUACCUAAAAUGUGUCCCUCUUAUAAAUAAUUCAGGGCAGCCAUGAUUGAAUGAAAAUGAAUUUGAAAUUAAAAUUAAAAAAAAAAACUAAAAAAAUCUCGAAGAACAGACAAAAGUUAUUUUAAAGCACAAAAGUGUGAAACCUAAUCCUUGGUUUAACAAAUUUUCAAAUGGUUGAGCAAAGCAGUACUGCCAAUCUUGAUUUCCAACUGGUUUCUUUUAACUCAUUGUCUUAAACAAUUUGUUUUUCACCAGCUUACUAGGAAUUUCUCUCAUCUGGGCUCCUUCAUCUCUCCUACACUGUUCUUGUAUAUGUCAGACAAUUCUACGGGUUCGCCCAUCAUCUCCAUGAAGAUAUCUCCCAAGUCUAUAGCACUGGAUGUAAUCAUCAAGGACUUUUCACGACGGCUCUGUUCAGAUGAUCAACUCCCCACCUUGACCUUGAGCACAUCUCCCCAUUUUACGUCCCACUGCAAGACAAAAGUUUAGUGUGAAUAUGUGGCACAAGACAGUUUUCUUCUCCUCAUAUGCAUCUUACAAAAGUGAAAAGGGUGGAGAUAAACAGAAGGCCCACAGAGAAAAGAUAACUGAAGUGUUUUCUACUACCAUCAUGUGAGAAUGUAAACUGCAAGCUGAACAAGGCCAUGUAAGAAAGUGCAUUGAGGGAGUAGCCCAGCUUCAGGCUGGUUUUAUAUAAUUCAGUAUUCAGGCUGAGCUGUAUCUGAAUACAAAUUACAACUCAUCCUUCAGCCUGGGUGUCUGCUCAAUAGGCACAGAAUGAGAAACACAAGUGGAAUCUCAAAUUUUCAUGAAAAUGAUUGAAAGAAACAGAUGCAACUUCACUUAGCUGUCCCACUUAAUGCAAUCUCCAAAAGUGAAUUCUACUAAGAAAGACUAGCAAGAAGGUGGCCAGAUGUUUCACCAGCAAGCUCACAGAACAGCUUCUUAGAAACUACUAUAUGCAAAGCUCAACUGUGUCAGUGACUUUAAAAUAAAAACUCAUGGAAUCACA